AAUAAGCGCCCGAAGGUCGUGGUGCCAAACCCCCCAGCGGAAAAAUGGCCAAAAAACGGGUGGGCUAUAGCCUUGGUGGGGGGCGCGGGCGAAGUUCGUCCGCCGGACUCGGAAUGGGACGAGACUUUGCGAGGGGCCUCGGGGCACCAAAAAUAAGCCGCGGUCAAAGCCGCGCCCAAAAAUAAGCCCCCGAAGGUCGUGGUACCAAAACCCCCCAGCGGAAAAAUGGCCAAAAAACGGGUGGGCUAUAGCCUUGGUGGGGGGCGCGGGCGAAGUUCGUCCGCCGGACUCGGAAUGGGGCGAGACUUUGCGAGGGGCCUCGGGGUGCCCGCGGGAAGUCGCGGACACAGCCACGCUCAAAAAUAAGCGCCCGAAGGUCGUGGUGCCAAAACCCCCCAGCGGAAAAAUGGCCAAAAAACGGGUGGGCUAUAGCCUUGGUGGGGGGCGCGGGCGAAGUUCGUCCGCCGGACUCGGAAUGGGGUGAGACUUUGCGAGGGGCCUCGGGGUGCCAAAAAUAAGCCGCGGGCAAAGCCGCGCCCAAAAAUAAGCGCCCGAAGGUCGUGGUGCCAAAACCCCCCAGCGGAAAAAUGGCCAAAAAACGGGUGGGCUAUAGCCUUGGUGGGGGGCGCGGGCGAAGUUCGUCCGCCGGACUCGGAAUGGGGCGAGACUUUGCGAGGGGCCUCGGGGUGCCCGCGGGAAGUCGCGGACACAGCCACGCUCAAAAAUAAGCGCCCGAAGGUCGUGGUGCCCAAACCCCCCAGCGGAAAAAUGGCCAAAAAACGGGUGGGCUAUACGCCUUGGUGGGGGGCGCGGGCGAAGUUCGUCCGCCGGACUUUGAAUGGGGCGUGAUUUUGCGAGGGGUCUCGGGGUGCCCGCGGGAACUCGCGGGCACAGCCGCGUCCAGAAAUAAGCGCCCGAAGGUCGUGGUGCCAAAACCCCCCAGCGGAAAAAUGGCCAAAAAACGGGUGGGCUAUAGCCUUGGUGGGGGGCAUGGGCGAAGUUCGUCUGCCGGACUCGGAAUGGGGCGAGACUUUGCGAGGGGCCUCGGGGUGCCAAAAAUAAGCCGCGGGGAAAGCCGCGCCCAAAAAUAAGCGCCCAAAGGUCGUGGUGCCAAAACCCCCCAGCGGAAAAAUGGCCAAAAAACGGGUGGGCUAUAGCCUUGGUGGGGGGCGCGGGCGAAGUUCGUCCGCCGGACUCGGAAUGGGACGAGACUUUGCGAGGGGCCUCGGGGCACCAAAAUUAAGCCGCGGGCAAAGCCGCGCCCAAAAAUAAGCGCCCAAAAGUUGUGGUGCCAAAACCCCCCAGCGGAAAAAUGGCCAAAAAACGGGUGGGCUAUAGCCUUGGUGGGGGGCGCGGGCGAAGUUCGUCCGCCGGACUCGGAAUGGGCGAGACUUUGCGCGGGGCCUCGGGGCGCCAAAAAUAAGCCACGGGCAAAGCCGCACCCAAAAAUAAGCGCCCGAAGGUCGUGGUGCCAAAACCCCCCAGCGGAAAAAUGGCCAAAAAACGGGUGGGCUAUAGCCUUGGUGGGGGGCGCGGGCGAAGUUCGUCAGCCGGACUCGGAAUGGGGCGAGACUUUGCGAGUGGCCUCGGGGUGCCAAAAAUAAGCCACAGAAAAGGCCGCGCCCAAAAAUAAGCGCCCGAAGGUCGUGGUGCCAAAACCCCCCAGCGGAAAAAUGGCCAAAAAACGGGUGGGCUAUAGCCUUGGUGGGGGGCGCGGGCGAAGUUCGUCAGCCGGACUCGGAAUGGGGCGAGACUUUGCGAGGGGCCUCGGGGUGCGCGCGGGAAGUCGCGGACACAGCCGCGCCCAAAAAUAAGCGCCCGAAGGUCGUGGUGCCAAAACUCCCCAGCGGAAAAAUGGCCAAAAAACGGGUGGGCUAUAGCCUUGGUGGGGGGCGCGGGCGAAGUUCGUCCGCCGGACUCGGAACGGGGCGAGACUUUGCGAGGGGCCUCGGGGUGCCAAAAAUAAGCCGCGGGGAAAGCCGCGCCCAAAAAUAAGCGCCCAAAGGUCGUGGUGCCAAAACCCCCCAGCGGAAAAAUGGCCAAAAAACGGGUGGGCUAUAGCCUUGGUGGGGGGCGCGGGCGAAGUUCGUCCGCCGGACUCGGAAUGGGACGAGACUUUGCGAGGGGCCUCGGGGCACCAAAAUUAAGCCGCGGGCAAAGCCGCGCCCAAAAAUAAGCGCCCAAAAGUUAUGGUGCCAAAACCCCCCAGCGGAAAAAUGGCCAAAAAACGGGUGGGCUAUAGCCUUGGUGGGGGGCGCGGGCGAAGUUCUUCCGCUGGACUCGGAAUGGGACGAGACUUUGCGAGAGGCCUCGGGGCGCCAAAAAUAAGCCGCGGGCAAAGCCGUGCCCAAAAAUAAGCGCCCGAAGGUCGUGGUGCCAAAACCCCCCAGCGGAAAAAUGGCCAAAAAACGGGUGGGCUAUAGCCUUGGUGGGGGGCGCGGGCGAAGUUCGUCCGCCGGACUCGGAAUGGGGCGAGACUUUGCAAGGGGCCUCGGGGUGCCCGCGGGAAGUCGCAGGCACAGACGCGUCCAGAAAUAAGCGCCCGAAGGUCGUGGUGCCAAAACCCCCCAGCGGAAAAAUGGCCAAAAAACGGGUGGGCUAUAGCCUUGGUGGGGGGCGCAGGCGAAGUUCGUCCGCCGGACUCGGAAUGGGAUGAGACUUUGCGAGGGGCCUCGGGGCACCAAAAAUAAGACGCGGGCAAAGCCGUACCCAAAAAUAAGCGCCCGAAGGUCGUGGUGCCAAAACCCCCCAGCGGAAAAAUGGCCAAAAAACGGGUGGGCUAUAGCCUUGGUGGGGGAGGCGGGCAAAGUUCGUCCGCCGGACUCGGAAUGGGGUGAGACUUUGCGCGGGGCCUCGCGGUGCCAAAAAUAAGCCGCGGGCAAAGCCGCGCCCAAAAAUAAGCGCCCGAAGGUCGUGGUGCCAAAACCCCCCAGCGGAAAAAUGGCCAAAAAACGGGUGGGCUAUAGCCUUGGUGGGGGGCGCGGGCAAAGUUCGUCCGCCGGACUCGUAAUGGGGCGAGACUUUGCGACGGGCCUCGGGGUGCCCGCGGGAAGUCGCGGGCACAGCCGCGUCCAAAAAUAAGCGCCCGAAGGUCGUGGUGCCAAAACUCCCCAGCGGAAAAAUGGCCAAAAAACGGGUGGGCUAUAGCCUUAGUGGGGGGCGCGGGCGAAGUUCGUCAGCCGGACUCGGAAUGGGGCGAGACUUUGCGAGGGGCCUCGGGGUGCCAAAAAUAAGCCACGGAAAAGGCCGCGCCCAAAAAUAAGCGCGCGAAGGUCGUGGUGCCAAAACCCCCCAGCGGAAAAAUGGCCAAAAAACGGGUGGGCUAUAGCCAUGGUGGGGGGCGCGGGCGAAGUUCGUCCGCCGGACUUGGAAUGGGGCGAGACUUUGCGAGGGGCCUCGGGGUGCCCGCGGGAAGUCGCGGGCACAGCCGCGUCCAGAAAUAAGCGCCCGAAGGUCGUGGUGCCAAAACCCCCCAGCGGAAAAAUGGCCAAAAAACGGGUGGGCUAUAGCCUUGGUGGGGGGCGCGGGCGAAGUUCGUCCGCCGGACUCGGAAUGGGGCGAGACUUUGUGCGGGGCCUCGGGGCGCCAAAAAUAAGCCGCG
Molecule: long non-coding RNA, 3601 nt
Filed under: Citrus x clementina
Lineage: Eukaryota; Viridiplantae; Streptophyta; Magnoliopsida; Sapindales; Rutaceae
Description: Citrus clementina (C. clementina) long non-coding RNA (CCLE_LNC006030)
Source: RNAcentral